Molecule: ribosomal RNA, 484 nt
Filed under: uncultured bacterium
Lineage: Bacteria
Description: partial 16S ribosomal RNA
Rfam family: Bacterial small subunit ribosomal RNA
Source: RNAcentral
AUUGAACGCUGGCGGUAGGCCUAACACAUGCAAGUCGAGCGGAAGCACGGUGCUUGCUCCUGGAUACAGCGGCGGAGGGGCGGGCAGUGCCUGGGAAUCUCCCUGUCAGCGUUGGAGAAGGUCCUGAAAUGGGCGCUAAUACGGCAUACCCGCUGAGGGAGUACGUGUGGGAGCUUGGGACCUUCCGAUAUCGCGUGAGCCUAGGUCGGAUUAGCUAGUUGGUGGGGUAAAGGCCUACCAAGGCGACGAUCCGUAACUGGUCUGAGAGGAUGAUCAGUCACACUGGAACUGAGACACGGUCCAGACUCCUACGGGAGGCAGCAGUGGGGAAUAUUGGACAAUGGGCGAAAGCCUGAUCCAGCCAUGCCGCGUGGGUGAAGAAGGUCUUCGGAUUGUAAAGCACUUUUGGUGGGGAGGAAAAGCAGUAAGUUAAUACCUUGCUGUUUUGACGGUACCAACAGAAUAAGCACCGGCUAACUUCGUG